This 497-nucleotide ribosomal RNA is filed under the name uncultured bacterium. RNAcentral's name for it is "partial 16S ribosomal RNA". It matches the Rfam family "Bacterial small subunit ribosomal RNA", at positions 28 to 507 of the family's 1533-position model. The record is from RNAcentral.
GAUGAACGCUGGCGGCGUGCCUAAUACAUGCAAGUCGAGCGAACAGACGAGGAGCUUGCUCCUCUGACGUUAGCGGCGGACGGGUGAGUAACACGUGGAUAACCUACCUAUAAGACUGGGAUAACUUCGGGAAACCGGAGCUAAUACCGGAUAAUAUAUUGAACCGCAUGGUUCAAUAGUGAAAGACGGUUUUGCUGUCACUUAUAGAUGGAUCCGCGCCGCAUUAGCUAGUUGGUAAGGUAACGGCUUACCAAGGCAACGAUGCGUAGCCGACCUGAGAGGGUGUUCGGCCACACUGGAACUGAGACACGGUCCAGACUCCUACGGGAGGAACAAGUAGGGAAUCUUCCGCAAUGGGGGAAAGCCUGACGGAGCAACGCCGCGUGAGUGAUGAAGGUCUUCGGAUCGUAAAACUCUGUUAUUAGGGAAGAACAAAUGUGUAAGUAACUAUGCACGUCUUGACGGUACCUAAUCAGAAAGCCACGGCUAACUACGUG